AAUCAACGCUGGCGGCGCGCUUAACACAUGCAAGUCGCACGAGAAAGGGAGCAAUCCUGAGUAAGGUGGCGUACGGGUGAGUAACACGUGGGAAUCUACCUCUUGGCGGGGAAUAACCCUGGGAAACCGGGGCUAAUACCGCAUAAGCUCGUGAGAGGAAAGCAGCAAUGCACCGAGAGAGGAGCCCGCGGCCGAUUAGCUAGUUGGUGGGGUAAUGGCUCACCAAGGCGAAGAUCGGUAGCCGGCCUGAGAGGGCACACGGCCACACUGGCACUGAAACACGGGCCAGACUCCUACGGGAGGCAGCAGUGGGGAAUCUUGCACAAUGGGGGAAACCCUGAUGCAGCGACGCCGCGUGAGCGAUGAAGCCCUUCGGGGUGUAAAGCUCUUUCGACAGGAACGAUAAUGACGGUACCUGGAGAAGAAGCUGCGGCUAACUACGUG
RNAcentral lists this ribosomal RNA (444 nucleotides) under uncultured bacterium. Its description in RNAcentral is "partial 16S ribosomal RNA". It matches the Rfam family "Bacterial small subunit ribosomal RNA", at positions 29 to 507 of the family's 1533-position model. The record is from RNAcentral.